UCCUCUUCUCUUACCUCCUGUUCUUCUUCACUGAGAGGAUUUUAAGGAGUCAAUCGAAGAUGAUUUUCCCCCUCUUUUUCUUUUGUAUCAGUUUUAAUUUUCGUUUCUUUGUUUAAGAGAUGGUGGAGGUGUUGUUGCUGUUUGAGUUAAGAGGAAGAAGAAUCGAGAAGCCAGUGAGUUAGGGUUUUCUCCAGUUGGUUUGUUCUCUGAGUUUUGGUAGAACGAGGAUGGUAUCGAGUUGUAACCACUGAAGAUUAAGAGGGUUGUUGAUAAAUUGAUGAGAUGAAGCAGUUCUGGUGAAGAAUCACAAAAUCAGGUAAAUUAGGGUUCCUCAAUUUGAAUUUGUUUCUUGUAUAUUGGAUUAUAAUUGGUGAAAUCUGAGAUGGGUAUUGUUUGAAUUGAAAUUGUAUUGAUUAGGAAGAGUUUAAAUUUAUUUUCUUUGAGAAUUAUGGUUUUUCCCUGUUCUUCCCCAAAUCAGUAAAUUAAGGUUGGUUGAAAAGGUACCGAGUAAAAAAAAAAGGUUGGUUGAAAAGGGAAAUGGUUCUGUGGUGAAGGAAUUUGAAAAUCAGGAAGGGGGUUGUUAGAUUUAAGUUCUGUAGUUUAGGGUUUUGGUUGGAUAGUGACAUAGAAGAUGGUUCUAACGGAAAUUGGAAAAGAUGUGGUUGUUUUUAGGUUGACUUAGAGUAGAAGUUUAUGGUUAAAGAGAUGGAUUAUCUGUAGUCAUGUCUGGUUGGUUGUGUGUGAUGAAGUAGAAAAAGGUACAGGUCUUGUGAUAUUCUCAGAAAAUCUUGUGGUUGCAGAAGCGAGAUUUCAUUAUUUGGAGGAAUUGCAUGAAACGAGAUUUCACAAUUAAUGGGUUGAUGCUUGAUCCAUAUGCAAAUGUUGUCUAUGACUAUGUUGGAGGCAUGAAAGAUUCUAAUGAAGCUAAAGAGUGCUUGCGUCUCUUUUGGUUUCUUCUCCCUUGAACUAGGUCGGAUGUAGUUGUUUGUGCUUUUCUCAUCUUAGUUAUUUUGCUCUAUAGGUUUCGACCGUGAUACCUACAGAGUACAUAUGUUUCUUUUCAGGGGGAUUGUGGUAACUAUUGUAUUCUCCUUCUUGUAUUGUUCAUUAACAGUGGGUUUGAUGUAUUUAUAACCCCUGUCUCUGUUACACCAUGUUUACACAUCUGCCGAAUGAUUAGCACCUAAUGACAGUAUGUUGAUUUCCAAAGCUUGCAUUCUAUAGGUAAUCAGAAUUGUAGCUCUCUUAGGGGUCCAUCUUAUGAAGGAAACAUUAUUUUUUUUUGAAAAAAUUGUAUUGCUCCAUACUGAGACUUGAAAAAGUUUUCAGGACACUUUACUACCAUGCUUAUCCUCAAGUUUGGCUUUAGCAAUGCCACACUAGGCACCUCAUGGAAAUGAAUUACACGCUGGCGUAUGGAUAUGCAGAAAAGCCUCUGUUAGGCUACUUUGGAAGGUUUGGCUCCUGGAGAUGCUUCCUUAUUUUAACACUGGGUCCAUGGGUCAUUUGUUAACUCAAGAGUACAUAGGUCAUUAUUUGCUAAGCUGGAUUAAUUUUUGGCGCCUAAUAGGCCAUGCCUUCAGAGCUUAUGCCUGCUAUAACAAGUAUCUGGAACAGGUCCUGAUGAGGAAGGGAGAAGCAAAGUCGCAAGAUGAUAAAUGUCAUCAUGGAACUUAAACAAGAACCACUAGCUCCACAGAUGACCCAUCUUUUGUUCUUUUUUUUCUUGUUUUCAUGCCAUCAGGUGUGUUCUUAUCAUGUCUCAAACUUUCCACAGGCAUUUUGGAUGUUGAUAAUCUUAGUUACCAGGUUUUUUAACUAUCUGGGUGCUGUUCUGUUGCCCAGAUUUAUGAUUUUUAAACAGUUAAACAUCUUACUGCCGGAUAUGUAAGUUUUUAUGGUGUAACAAUGUAAAAAUUUGUUAUGAAUGGUAUAAGUUUUUGGUUCAGUGGGAAUAAAAGCUUCUUAA
Papaver somniferum (opium poppy) is the source of this 1969-nucleotide long non-coding RNA. RefSeq lists it as uncharacterized. Lineage: Eukaryota; Viridiplantae; Streptophyta; Magnoliopsida; Ranunculales; Papaveraceae. The transcript is spliced from 5 exons. The record is from RefSeq and is a predicted model, not a curated record.